This is a long non-coding RNA of Ahaetulla prasina, 4005 nucleotides long. RefSeq lists it as uncharacterized. The transcript is spliced from 3 exons. NCBI's taxonomy places the organism in Eukaryota, Metazoa, Chordata, Lepidosauria, Squamata, Colubridae. The record is from RefSeq and is a predicted model, not a curated record.
UUCAUAGCCAUGUUGUAUAUGAGGGCAGGUCUAAUGAUAUAACACCGCAGAUCUGAUAUAGACCUCAAGGCUUAUUUUGGUUAGAGUGCAGUACUGCAGGCUACUUCUGCUGACUGCCAGCUGACUGCAAUUUGGCAGUUCGAUUCUCACCAGGUUCAAGAUUAACUCAGACUUCCAUCCUUCCGAGACACCCCUGGAUCUAACUGAUCUUGUCACAUAUGGAAGCAUAUUUUGAAUGGUACUUCCUCAAUGUGUAGACCUUGCUUCAAUGUUCUUGCUGUUCUCUCUUAAGAACGAUUCGGUCCAUUAGCUUCUGCACAAGCAGAAAGAAGGCAAAACGCAAAACAAUCAGGCAUCUGGAAAACUGUUUAUCUGAUCAACACCAAAUACUGUCAAACCAUUGACAUGUGCAUAGUUUCGGGACGUCAGCCUGAAUAGACACAGCAAGCCCAAGAGUUAAUUAUCUUUGACAACUUUGCCAGUUAAUUUCCUAUUUCUAUGAGCAAAACAUGGGCUUGUGCAAAGCUGCUUUUUUACCUCCCCUUGUCACCGAGGGUUUAUCAAUCAAAACAAGGCCUAGAUUUGGCUGCCAAGACAGCUUCUCAUCUCAAAGGGGAGUUUAUCUGUUUGAAAUCGUUUCAACUACCUAACGACAGCAAUGCGGAUGUGAAAUAUAAUAGGCAUUGUUUCGCCUCACCCAAGCCAGCCUCCAUUUCUUCCCUUAUUCAGAGAGAGAAAGCAGCGGACUACCCAGAGGCUGAGAUUAAGGGAUCCAGCUAUCUCAUCAUAUGUCAUUUGCUGUACUGUUGUUAGUUCCAGAUUCUAAAAACAACAGCCACUCUACGCAACCGUCAAAGACUGAUUUGAGAUGGUCGCCGUUUCGCUCUGGAAUUUUAGCUGACAGGAUGCACCAUUGUCCAUCCUUUGUCUCGAGCAACCCAAGCGCAUUUUGCUCAGAAAUAUCAUUUGUGUAAAGAGAUGGAGUGGGGGAACCAAUCGGUUCCUGCUGAGGCAGUCAAAGUCUUGGUAUGUGCUGUUGCUGUUUUGCAUCGAUGAACAGGUGCCCUUUCUUUGAAUCACGAUAAACGGUUUUCUCACGCUUCUUUUAAGCCAGGAUAGACUUUACAAGAAAAGCAUCUGCCUUAAUUUCCACCCUGACCUCACAGCUUGCAAGCAUAUUUAUUCAACUUUGGUGCAGUGGUUAGGGCAUCAGUCUAGAAACUGGGAGACUGUGAGUUCUAGUUCUGCCUUAGGUACAAAACCAGUUGGGCCACCAUGGGUCAGUCAAACUCUCCCAGCAACCAUUUCCAAAAUCUUGCCACGAAAACUUCAGGGAUUUGUCCAGCAACUCUCCAGGAGUCAAAAUUGACUCAAAGGCUUACAUACAUAAAUGUGUAAAUACAUACAUACAUACAUACAUACAUACAUACAUACAUACAUACAUACAUUCAUACAUUAUACAUAACUUAGUGCAUGAUAAUAUGGGCAGAAUGGAAAAAAGAUGCCCAUUUUUUGAUUGGCCAACUCAUAUUUAAAACAUAGGAAAGAGUUGCAAGCAUCUUUGCAACAAGAGGUCUAACUGACAGGUAAAAACCUCCAAGGAAGAAUACAGAUAGAAUUGAAAUAAAAUUUAUUCUUGAUGUGGGUCACAGGACCAAGAUGAUGGAAGUUUAAAUGGAGCAGUUUGUUUGUUUGUUUGUUUGUUUGUUUGUUUGUUUUGUCACAGUAUAUAUAAGCAUAAGCAUGAAAUAACUAUACAAUAUAUAAGCAUAUACAUAAAUAUGAGUAUGUACUAACGACAAAAACUGUUUCAACUCCUACCCUCAAAACGACACUAUAGAGCACUGCACAACAGAACAACUAGACACAAGAACAGUUUUUUCCCGAAGGCCAUCACUCUGCUAAACAAAUAAUUCCCUCAACACUGUCAAACUAUUUACUAAAUCUGCACUACUAUUAAUCUUCUCAUCGUUCCCAUCACCAAUCUCUUUCCACUUAUGACUGUAUGACUAUAACUUUGUUGCUGGCAAUCCUUAUGAUUUAUAUUGAUAUAUUGACCAUCAAUUGUGUUGUAAGUGUUGUACCUUGAUGAACAUAUCUUUUCUUUUAUGUACACUGAGAGCAUAUGCACCAAGACAAAUUCCUUGUGUGUCCAAUCACACUUGGCCAAUAAAAAUUCUAUUCUAUUCUAUUCUAUUCUAUUCUAUUCUAUUCUAUUCUAUUCUAUUAAUUGGAUAUAACGAAAGGAAACAAUAGGACAGGAACGGUAGAAAAUUGCCAACUUUCAUAGCUGCUGCUUAACUAUUUCCUAAAGAAAUACACAGGGAUUUUUUUUCUGGAUCUUUUGUUUCCAGCCCUGACUAGAUCCAUCCUUUUCUUUUGCCAGAUCCUCCUCCCCCCACUAAAUUUAGUCCCUUUCUGUUCAAAGAGUGAAUAAAGAGAGCUCUUGUGCUGAUGAACAGAGAUAUUAUCUAUUGGUGUUUGUCAACCUUGGCCAUUUGAAGAUGUGUGCACUUCAGCUCCCAGAAUUCCCAGAAUUCCAACUCCCAUGGCUGGCUGGGGAAUUCUGGGAGUGUUGUUUUUUUUUAAUUUGCAUUUAUAUCCCGCCCUUCUCCGAAGACUCAGGGCGGCUUACAUUAUGUUAGCAAUAGUCUUCAUCCUAUUUGUAUAUUUAUAUACAAAGUCAACUUAUUGCCCCCAACAAUCUGGGUCCUCAUUUUACCUAUCCACAUAUCUUCAAACUGACAAGGUUGACAAACACUGAAUUCCAGUCUACAAAAAUUUAUUCGGCCUAUAAAGGGUAUUAGGUCUAUGGAUUUUGGAUAUAUUUUUUUUCUUGCAGGCAAUACAGUUAUUAUACACCACACCAUAGUGAGGGAUCGAAAAAUAUUAUAUUUUACUAAAGCCCAGGUAAACCUGACUUCUGCGAGCAUCUUAAACUUGGCUCUGCUCUUUAUAUAUUAAAAGGAAAGAGAGAAGAACAAGAUGUAUGUAUGUGUGUUUGUUUAUGUUAACACAUUAUCUCUAAAAUUUUAUUUCGAGUUAUGAAAACAUGAACAACAAGGCUGUUUUCUAACAAAUACCAAUCAAUUCUUUCAGCCCAUUUAAACUACAAGACUAUCAAGUAAAGCAGUUUAUGAAGCUGAAAUUUUUCAUAAUUAUUGGGGGUAAAUAAUGCAUGACUUUUGAAUGUAUGUUGGCAUAAAAUUCACAGCAAUACCUGCUGAAAUUCCCAUUUGCCAGACAGACACUCUAGUCACACUGCUUUUCCAUUCCUCUUUAUCAUGCAAAUGUUUUGUUUAUCUCACCUACAUUGUGUUCUCUGUGUUAAAUAAAAUGCAUUUGAAAAUACCCUACAAUAAGUGUGUGAGGAUUUGGUAAGAAACAACUAAACUACAACAUGGCCACAAUCUAUUUCUUUUAAAACAGUCCUGCUGUUUUAAAAUUUAGCAGACUGGCAAAAUCAAAAUGCACUGGAUUUUGAUCUAUAGAGUAAGUAUGGGGAAUACUUACUAAGAAUUCACUGCUGAUUUUGUAUUAAGAAUGAUUUGACAUUGAGAGAAAGAGAAAGAGAAUCUAACAGAAGCUAUUUGUCUCUUUGGAAAUGGAGUCGAAAGAAUUAAGUGGUCAGGUCUGUAAGCCAUCUUUUGCAUUGGGCCUUCAGACCUGCCACAUUUACUACUGUGGGAAACUGGGAAGGGGGAUUGUAUGGAGCAUGGGUGAUAUACAGUCAUAAUAACAUUCCUUUCUCAGAGAGUCAAGGACAUCUUGCCCUGCCCCUGGACGGCUGGAACUGGGAAGCAUCUCCAGUUGGAAUAGUGCUUUAAUUGGGCCAUGUGAUGGACUUGUGGGUGUUGGGCAGGGACUUGAAUUUUUCCUUGGGUCAGGAAAACCUGGAAACUUCAGAUUCGGGUUUUCCCAGAUGUGCCAAGGUGACAUCUCUAAUAAAAUGUAACUUUGAGGAAAUUCAAGCCUCAGAGUUUUCUUUUGUUGGGGGUGUUACUU